This 497-nucleotide ribosomal RNA is filed under the name uncultured bacterium. RNAcentral describes it as "partial 16S ribosomal RNA". It matches the Rfam family "Bacterial small subunit ribosomal RNA", at positions 28 to 507 of the family's 1533-position model. The record is from RNAcentral.
GAUGAACGCUGGCGGCGUACCUAAUACAUGCAAGUCGAGCGAACAGACGAGGAGCUUGCUCCUCUGACGUUAGCGGCGGACGGGUGAGUAACACGUGGAUAACCUACCUAUAAGACUGGGAUAACUUCGGGAAACCGGAGCUAAUACCGGAUAAUAUAUUGAACCGCAUGGUUCAAUAGUGAAAGACGGUUUUGCUGUCACUUAUAGAUGGAUCCGCGCCGCAUUAGCUAGUUGGUAAGGUAACGGCUUACCAAGGCGACGAUGCGUAGCCGACCUGAGAGGGUGAUCGGCCACACUGGAACUGAGACACGGUCCAGACUCCUACGGGAGGCAGCAGUAGGGAAUCUUCCGCAAUGGGCGAAAGCCUGACGGAGCAACGCCGCGUGAGUGAUGAGGGUCUUCGGAUCGUAAAACUCUGUUAUUAGGGAAGAACAAAUGUGUAAGUAACUAUGCACGUCUUGACGGUACCUAAUCAGAAAGCCACGGCUAACUACGUG